GCCCCUAGCGCAGACGGCGGAGAGCAGAGAGGGAGCGCGCCUUGGCUCGCUGGCCUUGGCGGCGGCUCCUCAGGAGAGCUGGGGCGCCCACGAGAGGAUCCCUCACCCGGGUCUCUCCUCAGGGAUGACAUCAUCCGUCCACCUCCUUGUCUUCAAGGACCACCUCCUCUCCAUGCUGAGCUGCUGCCAAGGGGCCUGCUGCCCAUCUACACCUCACGAGGGCACUAGGAGCACGGUUUCCUGGAUCCCACCAACAUACAAAGCAGCCACUCACUGACCCCCAGGACCAGGAUGGCAAAGGAUGAAGAGGACCGGAACUGACCAGCCAGCUGUCCCUCUUACCUAAAGACUUAAACCAAUGCCCUAGUGAGGGGGCAUUGGGCAUUAAGCCCUGACCUUUGCUAUGCUCAUACUUUGACUCUAUGAGUACUUUCCUAUAAGUCUUUGCUUGUGUUCACCUGCUAGCAAACUGGAGUGUUUCCCUCCCCAAGGGGGUGUCAGUCUUUGUCGACUGACUCUGUCAUCACCCUUAUGAUGUCCUGAAUGGAAGGAUCCCUUUGGGAAAUUCUCAGGAGGGGGACCUGGGCCAAGGGCUUGGCCAGCAUCCUGCUGGCAACUCCAAGGCCCUGGGUGGGCUUCUGGAAUGAGCAUGCUACUGAAUCACCAAAGGCACGCCCGACCUCUCUGAAGAUCUUCCUAUCCUUUUCUGGGGGAAUGGGGUCGAUGAGAGCAACCUCCUAGGGUUGUUGUGAGAAUUAAAUGAGAUAAAAGAGGCCUCAGGCAGGAUCUGGCAUAGAGGAGGUGAUCAGCAAAUGUUUGUUGAAAAGGUUUGACAGGUCAGUCCCUUCCCACCCCUCUUGCUUGUCUUACUUGUCUUAUUUAUUCUCCAACAGCACUCCAGGCAGCCCUUGUCCACGGGCUCUCCUUGCAUCAGCCAAGCUUCUUGAAAGGCCUGUCUACACUUGCUGUCUUCCUUCCUCACCUCCAAUUUCCUCUUCAACCCACUGCUUCCUGACUCGCUCUACUCCGUGGAAGCACGCUCACAAAGGCACGUGGGCCGUGGCCCGGCUGGGUCGGCUGAAGAACUGCGGAUGGAAGCUGCGGAAGAGGCCCUGAUGGGGCCCACCAUCCCGGACCCAAGUCUUCUUCCUGGCGGGCCUCUCGUCUCCUUCCUGGUUUGGGCGGAAGCCAUCACCUGGAUGCCUACGUGGGAAGGGACCUCGAAUGUGGGACCCCAGCCCCUCUCCAGCUCGAAAUCGGCAGACUAGGAUGGAAGUGCCCUGUGAGCUGGGGGGCCCUUCAAAGGGCCAAGGAGAAAACGCAGGCCGAGGGACCAGCCUUCCAAAUGGGCUUCAAGCUCCAAUGACCUCCGCUCGCCCCCUCGAAAUGUCUGGAAAACAUAAUGGGCAGAUUUUCUGUCUUCAAAGUUUCCGGCUAAACCUCUUCAAGUUCUUUAUUGUUUGGGACUGAGACACUCAGCCAUGUUAAUGGCCAUAGGUCACCUGAAAGCCUACCUCACAGGGCUGUUGUGAGGGCCGAGGCCUCCACAGCCACGGGGACACCCUGCACCUAUUCCCACGGGACAGGCUGGACCCAGAGACUCUGGACCCGGGGCCUCCCCUUGAGUAGAGACCCGCCCUCUGACUGAUGGACGCCGCUGACCUGGGGUCAGACCCGUGGGCUGGACCCCUGCCCACCCCGCAGGAACCCUGAGGCCUAGGGGAGCUGUUGAGCCUUCAGUGUCUGCAUGUGGGAAGUGGGCUCCUUCACCUACCUCACAGGGCUGUUGUGAGGGGCGCUGUGAUGCGGUUCCAAAGCACAGGGCUUGGCGCACCCCACUGUGCUCUCAAUAAAUGUGUUUCCUGUCUUAACAAAA
RNAcentral lists this long non-coding RNA (1876 nucleotides) under Homo sapiens (human). RNAcentral's name for it is "HSALNT0379201". The stretch from base 535 to 639 matches the Rfam family "Maternally expressed 3 conserved region 2". The record is from RNAcentral. Lineage: Eukaryota; Metazoa; Chordata; Mammalia; Primates; Hominidae.